RNAcentral lists this ribosomal RNA (494 nucleotides) under uncultured bacterium. RNAcentral's name for it is "partial 16S ribosomal RNA". It matches the Rfam family "Bacterial small subunit ribosomal RNA", at positions 28 to 507 of the family's 1533-position model. The record is from RNAcentral.
GACGAACGCUGGCGGCGUGCUUAACACAUGCAAGUCGAACGGUGAAGCGCCUUCCUUUUUGGUGGGUGUGGAUGAGUGGCGAACGGGUGAGUAACACGUGAGUAACCUGCCCCCUUCUUCUGGAUAACCGCAUGAAAGUGUGGCUAAUACGGGAUAUUCUGGGUCUGUCGCAUGAUGGGUCUGGGAAAGAUAUUGUUUCGGUGGGGGAUGGGCUCGCGGCCUAUCAGCUUGUUGGUGGGGUGAUGGCCUACCAAGGCGGUGACGGGUAGCCGGCCUGAGAGGGUGGACGGUCACACUGGGACGGAGACACGGCCCAGACUCCGACGGGAGGCAGCGGGGGGGAAUAUUGCACAAUGGGCGCAAGCCUGAUGCAGCGACGCCGCGUGAGGGAUGGAGGCCUUCGGGUUGUGAACCUCUUUCGCCAGUGAAGCAGGCCUGCCUCGUUUGUGGGUGGGUUGACGGUAGCUGGAUAAGAAGCGCCGGCUAACUACGUG